GAUGAACGCUGGCGGCGUGCCUAAUACAUGCAAGUCGAGCGAACAGAUGAGGAGCUUGCUCCUCUGACGUUAGCGGCGGACGGGUGAGUAACACGUGGAUAACCUACCUGUACGACUGGGAUAACUUCGGGAAACCGGAGCUCAUACCGGAUCAUAUAUUGACCCGCAUGGUUCCAUAGUGCGAGACGCUUUUGCUGUCACUUAUCGAUCGAUCCGCGCCGCAUUAGCUAGUUGGUCAGGUUACGGCUUACCAAGCCAACGAUGCGUAGCCGACCUGAGAGGGUGAUGGGCCACACAGGAAUUGAGACACGGUCCAGACGCCCUCGGGAGGCAGCAGCAGGGAAUCUUCCGACAUGGGCGAAAGCCUGACGGAGCAACCCCGCGCCAGGGGUGAAGGUUCACGGAUCGUAGAACGCUUUUAUUAGGGAAGAACAAAUGGGUAAGUAACUAUGCACGUCUUGACGGUACCUAGACAGAAAGCCACGGCUAACUACGUG
RNAcentral lists this ribosomal RNA (497 nucleotides) under uncultured bacterium. Its description in RNAcentral is "partial 16S ribosomal RNA". It matches the Rfam family "Bacterial small subunit ribosomal RNA", at positions 28 to 507 of the family's 1533-position model. The record is from RNAcentral.